RNAcentral lists this ribosomal RNA (133 nucleotides) under Anser brachyrhynchus (Pink-footed goose). The record is from RNAcentral. Lineage: Eukaryota; Metazoa; Chordata; Aves; Anseriformes; Anatidae.
UUUGCAAGCUACCUACUGCCUGGAGCCAUCUCCUUUCAAAACUGCGAUCUCAUCUGAUUGCAAAAGCUAAGCAGGUGAGGCCUGGUCAGCCCUUGGCUGGGAUUCCUCAAGGGAAAAAGAGGUGCUAGAAGAA